This 200-nucleotide unclassified non-coding RNA is filed under the name Xylaria sp. RNAcentral's name for it is "partial internal transcribed spacer 2". The record is from RNAcentral. Lineage: Eukaryota; Fungi; Ascomycota; Sordariomycetes; Xylariales; Xylariaceae.
UUAAGUUCAGCGGGUAUUCCUACCUGAUCCGAGGUCAACCUUUAAAAUUUGGGGGUUUUACGGCAGGGGACCGGCCCAACUACAGACGAGAUAGAUUUACUACGUCAGGAGUGUGAGACCGACUCCGCCACUAACUUUAGGGAGCUACAGCGAUGUAGGCUCCCAACGCUAAGCAACAGGGCUUAAGGGUUGAAAUGACG